AGUGAACGCUGGCGGUAGGCCUAACACAUGCAAGUCGAACGGCAGCACAGUAAGAGCUUGCUCUUACGGGUGGCGAGUGGCGGACGGGUGAGGAAUACAUCGGAAUCUACUUUUUCGUGGGGGAUAACGUAGGGAAACUUACGCUAAUACCGCAUACGACCUACGGGUGAAAGCAGGGGAUCUUCGGACCUUGCGCGAUUGAAUGAGCCGAUGUCGGAUUAGCUAGUUGGCGGGGUAAAGGCCCACCAAGGCGACGAUCCGUAGCUGGUCUGAGAGGAUGAUCAGCCACACUGGAACUGAGACACGGUCCAGACUCCUACGGGAGGCAGCAGUGGGGAAUAUUGGACAAUGGGCGCAAGCCUGAUCCAGCCAUACCGCGUGGGUGAAGAAGGCCUUCGGGUUGUAAAGCCCUUUUGUUGGGAAAGAAAAGCAGCAGGUUAAUACCCCGCUGUUCUGACGGGACCCAAAGAAUAAGCACCGGCGAACUUCGU
This 491-nucleotide ribosomal RNA is filed under the name uncultured bacterium. RNAcentral's name for it is "partial 16S ribosomal RNA". It matches the Rfam family "Bacterial small subunit ribosomal RNA", at positions 29 to 506 of the family's 1533-position model. The record is from RNAcentral.